Molecule: long non-coding RNA, 590 nt
Filed under: Ananas comosus (pineapple)
Lineage: Eukaryota; Viridiplantae; Streptophyta; Magnoliopsida; Poales; Bromeliaceae
Description: long non-coding RNA (ACOM_LNC035993)
Source: RNAcentral
AAAAAAAAAAAAAAAAAAAAAAAAAAAAACAUUUUUUCUUUUAUGAAAAAUCUCCAAUUAGCAAAAGCUGCAACUUACCACUAAGGAUGCGUUUGGUUCGAGUUAUCAUGGCAGGAUUACAAACAAUCCUGCCAGGAUAACUGUAUUUAGUUAAUCCGCUAUGUAAUUUAGUCGUUAAUGUAGCAUUACAAAUCGAGCAGGAUUAUAUCGAAAAUAUUAACGAGAGGGGGUCGUUUAUCUUGCAUUACUGAAACCCAUUAAUAUUACAUAUUAUGUAAAAUGACAAUUUUAUCCUCCAAUAACCCCAAAUCUAAUUAACAGCAUUAUUUUCAUCUCUCUCUCACCUUCCCCCUCUUUCGCACGCCACUUUCUCUCGCUCUCUCUCUCUCUCGACGUCUCUUUCUCUCUCUCUCUCUCUCUCUCUCUCUCGCACGAACACCUAUCAUCUUCUAUUGCGUCGUCCUCCCAGGUAAUCAUCACGAUCUCCUUCCCUCCAUUCGUCAUUUCCGCAAAAAAUAAUAUUCAAAUGACCACAACAAGGGCAAUUUUGGAAAAAUAAUACUUUUAUGUCAGGAUUACUAAAUUUUAUA